AGUGAACGCUGGCGGUAGGCCUAACACAUGCAAGUCGAACGGCAGCACAGUAAGAGCUUGCUCUUACGGGUGGCGAGUGGCGGACGGGUGAGGAAUACAUCGGAAUCUACUUUUUCGUGGGGGAUAACGUAGGGAAACUUACGCUAAUACCGCAUACGACCUACGGGUGAAAGCAGGGGAUCUUCGGACCUUGCGCGAAUGAAUGAGCCGAUGUCGGAUUAGCUAGUUGGCGGGGUAAAGGCCCACCAAGGCGACGAUCCGUAGCUGGUCUGAGAGGAUGAUCAGCCACACUGGAACUGAGACACGGUCCAGACUCCUACGGGAGGCAGCAGUGGGGAAUAUUGGACAAUGGGCGCAAUCCUGAUCCAGCCAUACCGCGUGGGUGACGAAGGCCUUCGGGUUGUAAAGCCCUUUUGUUGGGAAAGAAAAGCAGCAGGUUAAUACCCCGCUGUUCUGACGGUACCCAAAGAAUAAGCACCGGCUAACUUCGUG
This 492-nucleotide ribosomal RNA is filed under the name uncultured bacterium. RNAcentral's name for it is "partial 16S ribosomal RNA". It matches the Rfam family "Bacterial small subunit ribosomal RNA", at positions 29 to 507 of the family's 1533-position model. The record is from RNAcentral.